RNAcentral lists this ribosomal RNA (432 nucleotides) under uncultured Acidobacterium sp. RNAcentral's name for it is "bacterial SSU rRNA". It matches the Rfam family "Bacterial small subunit ribosomal RNA", at positions 958 to 1385 of the family's 1533-position model. The record is from RNAcentral. Lineage: Bacteria; Pseudomonadati; Acidobacteriota; Terriglobia; Terriglobales; Acidobacteriaceae.
AACGCGAAGAACCUUACCUGGGCUCGAACGGCUUAAGAACAUCUUUGGAAACAGAGACUUCCCGCAAGGGACUUGAGUCGAGGUGCUGCAUGGCUGUCGUCAGCUCGUGUCGUGAGAUGUUGGGUUAAGUCCCGCAACGAGCGCAACCCUUGUCCUGUGUUGCCACUCCCCUUAAAAGGAAGCACUCGCAGGAGACCGCCAGCGAUAAGCUGGAGGAAGGUGGGGAUGAUGUCAAGUCAUCAUGGCCUUUAUGUCCAGGGCUACACACGUGCUACAAUGGGCGGUACAAAGCGCUGCAAACCCGCGAGGGGGAGCUAAUCGCAAAAAACCGUUCUCAGUUCGGAUCGCAGGCUGCAACUCGCCUGCGUGAAGCUGGAAUCGCUAGUAAUGGCGUAUCAGAAUGAUGCCGUGAAUACGUUCCCGGGCCUUGUA